CACGUAGUUAGCCGGUGCUUCUUAUCUACCUACCGUCACCACGAGUGGCUUCGUCGAUAGCGAAAGGAGUUUACAACCCGAAGGCCGUCAUCCCCCACGCGGCGUCGCUGCAUCAGGCUUGCGCCCAUUGUGCAAUAUUCCCCACUGCUGCCUCCCGUAGGAGUCUGGGCCGUAUCUCAGUCCCAAUGUGUCCGUACACCCUCUCAGGCCGGAUACCCGUCGCCGCCUUGGUAGGCCAUUACCCCACAACAAGCUGAUAGGCCGCAGGCUCAUCCCACACCGCAAAAGCUUUCCACCACAACAUCCAAGAAGUGGUCCUAUAUGGUAUUAGACCCAGUUUCCCAAGCUUAUCCCAUAGUGCAGGGCAGAUCACCCACGUGUUACUCACCCGUUCGCCACUCGAGUACCUGUACAAGUACAGGCCUUUCCGUUCGACUUGCAUGUGUUAAGCACGCCGCCAGCGUCAUCCUCGACGCCACGGACGUACAAACCGUAAC
RNAcentral lists this ribosomal RNA (497 nucleotides) under uncultured Corynebacterium sp. RNAcentral describes it as "partial 16S ribosomal RNA". Lineage: Bacteria; Bacillati; Actinomycetota; Actinomycetes; Mycobacteriales; Corynebacteriaceae. The record is from RNAcentral.